Molecule: ribosomal RNA, 221 nt
Filed under: uncultured bacterium
Lineage: Bacteria
Description: partial 16S ribosomal RNA
Rfam family: Bacterial small subunit ribosomal RNA
Source: RNAcentral
AUUGAACGCUGGCGGCGUGCUUAACACAUGCAAGUCGAUCGGUAACAGGUGUAGCAAUACAUGCUGACGAGAGGCGGACGGGUGAGUAAUGCUUGGGAAUCUGCCUAUUAGUGGGGGACAACCCGGGGAAACUCGGGCUAAUACCGCAUACGCUACUACGGAGGAAAGCCGGGGACCGCAAGGCCUGGCGCUAAUAGAUGAGCCCAAGUCGGAUUAGCUAG